AGUAACACGUGGGUAACCUGCCCAUAAGACUGGGAUAACUCCGGGAAACCGGGGCUAAUACCGGAUAAUAUUUUGAACUGCAUGGUUCGAAAUUGAAAGGCGGCUUCGGCUGUCACUUAUGGAUGGACCCGCGUCGCAUUAGCUAGUUGGUGAGGUAACGGCUCACCAAGGCAACGAUGCGUAGCCGACCUGAGAGGGUGAUCGGCCACACUGGGACUGAGACACGGCCCAGACUCCUACGGGAGGCAGCAGUAGGGAAUCUUCCGCAAUGGACGAAAGUCUGACGGAGCAACGCCGCGUGAGUGAUGAAGGCUUUCGGGUCGUAAAACUCUGUUGUUAGGGAAGAACAAGUGCUAGUUGAAUAAGCUGGCACCUUGACGGUACCUAACCAGAAAGCCACGGCUAACUACGUGCCAGCAGCCGCGGUAAUACGUAGGUGGCAAGCGUUAUCCGGAAUUAUUGGGCGUAAAGCGCGCGCAGGUGGUUUCUUAAGUCUGAUGU
Molecule: ribosomal RNA, 501 nt
Filed under: bacterium XN-80-18
Lineage: Bacteria
Description: bacterial SSU rRNA
Rfam family: Bacterial small subunit ribosomal RNA
Source: RNAcentral